Dicentrarchus labrax (European seabass) is the source of this 1757-nucleotide long non-coding RNA. RefSeq lists it as uncharacterized. The transcript has 4 exons. NCBI's taxonomy places the organism in Eukaryota, Metazoa, Chordata, Actinopteri, Moronidae. The record is from RefSeq and is a predicted model, not a curated record.
CGCACAGAGUGACAAACAACGUUAAGGUGUGCAGCCGCUCUAACGGUGAAAUGAAGUGUGUGUGUGUUCCGUAGAGUUUCUUGGACGGAGAGCAGAGGAAGAGAGUUUGCCGGGCAACAGCGGAGAAGAAAAACGGCAACACCAACCAGCACACCGGUGUCACGUCUCAUUUUGGAAAGAUGCUCUUCAAAUACUUCAUCACCGGCCCUCUCAGUUUCACUGCAGACGCUGGCUGACCUCAUUGAGUGACCUCACCAAUCACAGAUCAAAGUCAUCGGGUUUCUGGCUGGUCAGGUUAAUCAGAGGACCACCCUGAAGAACCAAUCAGACAAUUCCUGUAUCGCUGGCACGACUACACCGCCGCAGAGACAGAGGGACAGGACUUUGUGGAUUGACUGCCUUCCACGUCGGGGGCCGAUCAGGAACAGAUGGACGGGGUGAUGACCUCCCCGGCAGGCCAGAGCAGUGGCGCAACUGCCACUCAAAAUCUCAGUGUGUGGAUUUGUGUGAGUGUAGGUUUGUGUGUCGGAGGACGAUGGGGGGUUGUGUUAUGGCUCUGAGGGUGCUACGGCAAACAGGGUCCCCAUGAUAUGAGUGACUGACACUCCUCCAACAUCUGUUCCACGGAAAAACUCUCUCUCUUUCUCACUCCCACUUCUCCACUAACGGUCUCCCUGACUCGAUGUCUGUCGCCACCCUCUCCAUCUCUUCCCCACACACACAAGAGCGAGAGGAUCUUUUCAUUUUACAGUAAAGCUUAGAGGAAUGGAGAAAUUACAUUAGGGCAGAAUAAGAUACUCCAUUUAUGAUGUGGCUCUUUGCAGGGUUCUCUGCACGGUUGACAGAGGAGGCUGCAGACGGCACUGAUGCCUUUACCCUUCUCUUCUCCUUCCUCUCUCGCUCUGUUCCCCCCCCCCCAACCUCCACCCCUCACUCGACGAUCAGGUUUCUCUCUGUCCAUCAGUGGAGAGGAGAAGAAGGGGAGGAGGUGGGUUGUUCUGAUCAAUGGCAGGAAACCAGACGAUGGGAAGGGAAGACGUGAAACAGAUAGGCCCCAUAACCUACCUACCUACCAGGAUACCGCAAUCACUUCUCUCUCUCCAUCUAUUUCUCGCUCACUUCUGUGUUCCUAUCUGUAAUUCAAAUACACGAGCACACACAGAGAGAAACACCGCCCAGGCACCACACAUACAAACACGCAUCUGACCACAAACAUGGUGCAAAGGACACACAGCAGCACCUAGCUUCAGACUACUAUAUGCCAACACACACACUCAACACUGCAGAUUGCACAAAGCAUGUAUGAGCUUUGCCUGAAUGCAUACCUAUUGACCUGCUCCUUAUGGGAGAAUGACUAAUAAUAUACAAAAUUAGAAUAUAUUUAUCUCCCAGCUCUAUGCAAAUCUCAAACAUAUUGCUUUCUCUCUCCAGGGGGCCACACAUUCCCACACACGAAUAUAGUAAGAGCUGCAGAGAUAUAUGUGUAAUUAGGGCAGACAGAGAGAAUAGCUGUCUCAUUUGAGUUUAUUAAUUUGUGGUAUUUUUAUUACCGUUUAUCACCAUCUUUUUAUGGUGGACAACACCGCUGCUCAUUCCUCAAGGCACUUAUUAGCAGAACGAGUACUCGCCGGUUAUUUAACUCUAUUCCUCUGGAUCAAAUUAUGCAGCGUUAGAUCCUGGCAGAGUUAUGAAACUAACACUGAUAAUACAAUGGAAAAAGGAGGAGACUUCAUUAUAUUAAAAUACUGUGCUAAAGA